UCUCUUUGUCUACAUCUCAGGUGAAUUGUAGCCAUGUGAUCAAACGCCCAAGCCUCUAUCCAUUAACCCUCGUAAAUGAAAAAAUGGGGAACAAAAAGAAGUUUUGUGCUGCAAACAUGAAGAGAGGAAAGGAGGGGAAAAAAUGAUAACAGAGAACGAUGUGUGCGUCCUUUCUCCCCUUAUGUCCGAGCAUUGACACUAGUCGCGCACACAGAGAAAUUCCUCUUCAGCAGAAGGGAUGCCUCUGCCUGCCUGCUCUCCGCGUGCGACACACAUAUAAUAUAUUUAUAUAUAUUUGCAAGUUUCUGGAUUUAUGGUGAUGAGGAUGCGGGGGGUGAAGUUGCUUGGUGGUGAAGAUGAGGGAGGAGGGAAAAAAAGAUGGAGUGGGUUGGGGGUACCUCCACGAUGCCUGCACCCCACUGAUCAACUCAUCGGACCAGGCCUGGAAAUGCAAGAGUGAUGGUGAAAAGCAGAAUGUGAUGGUGGUGAUGAUGAUGAUGGUGGCAGGACAACGACGCACACUCACAAUGGCACCAUUGACAGCAACUUUAUGAUGUUUGCGCCCUACGGCCACACAUGCCAGCUUAAUAGUCAGCCAUGUGCGGUGAUUAUUUUUCAACCCUUUCAAUAAAAAUGUUCUCAAGGAACCACUUUA
This is a long non-coding RNA of Hippocampus zosterae (dwarf seahorse), 655 nucleotides long. RefSeq lists it as uncharacterized. The record is from RefSeq and is a predicted model, not a curated record. The transcript has 2 exons. NCBI's taxonomy places the organism in Eukaryota, Metazoa, Chordata, Actinopteri, Syngnathiformes, Syngnathidae.